Pygocentrus nattereri (red-bellied piranha) is the source of this 258-nucleotide long non-coding RNA. RefSeq lists it as uncharacterized. The transcript has 3 exons. The record is from RefSeq and is a predicted model, not a curated record. NCBI's taxonomy places the organism in Eukaryota, Metazoa, Chordata, Actinopteri, Characiformes, Serrasalmidae.
CAAGAAGGCAUGAUGGUCCCAUAUAACACUCAAAUGCAAGUGUGCCAGCCAGGACCGUCCAACAUGAUGUCAGAAAUGUUCAGCGACCCCAAGGAGGAGGAAGAAGUUUCUAUUACGAAGAAAAAGUGGGUCAUUGUGCAGACUUCUUCUGGACCCCGGCGAGUCCGGGCCACCAAUAAAAUUCAUUUCUCAUACUGAACUUCUGAACAAACACCAUGAGUGCUGAGUUCCAGCUUCACCUGCUAUGAUGUCAGAUCU